GACGAACGCUGGCGGCGUGCUUAACACAUGCAAGUCGAACGGAAAGGCCCUGCUUUUGUGGGGUGCUCGAGUGGCGAACGGGUGAGUAACACGUGAGUAACCUGCCCUUGACUUUGGGAUAACUUCAGGAAACUGGGGCUAAUACCGGAUAGGAGCUCCUGCUGCAUGGUGGGGGUUGGAAAGUUUCGGCGGUUGGGGAUGGACUCGCGGCUUAUCAGCUUGUUGGUGGGGUAGUGGCUUACCAAGGCUUUGACGGGUAGCCGGCCUGAGAGGGGGACCGGCGACAUUGGGACUGAGAGACGGCCCAGACGCCUACGGGAGGCAGCAGGGGGGAAUAUUGCACAAUGGGCGGAAGCGUGAUGCAGCAACGCCGCGUGCGGGAUGACGGCCUUCGGGUUGUAAACCGCUUUCGCCUGUGACGAAGCGUGAGUGACGGUAAUGGGUAAAGAAGCACCGGCUAACUACGUG
RNAcentral lists this ribosomal RNA (468 nucleotides) under uncultured bacterium. Its description in RNAcentral is "partial 16S ribosomal RNA". It matches the Rfam family "Bacterial small subunit ribosomal RNA", at positions 28 to 507 of the family's 1533-position model. The record is from RNAcentral.